GCAAACUUGGUCAUUUAGAGGAAGUAAAAGUCGUAACAAGGUUUCCGUAGGUGAACCUGCGGAAGGAUCAUUAUCGAGUACCGGUGCUCUCUGGGUGCCUACUCCCACCAUAUGUGAACCUUUUAGCCGUUGCUUUGGCGGGCCGGUAGCUAGAGUCUAUCUACCCUCCGGCUCCGGCUGGGGAGCGCCCGCCAGAGGAUCUUUUAAACCCGUCCUAAAUGUAAAUUCAGAGUCCCAUCUUAAAAGUCAAAACUUUCAACAACGGAUCUCUUGGUUCUGGCAUCGAUGAAGAACGCAGC
RNAcentral lists this unclassified non-coding RNA (299 nucleotides) under uncultured fungus. RNAcentral describes it as "partial contains small subunit ribosomal RNA, internal transcribed spacer 1, and 5.8S ribosomal RNA". The stretch from base 1 to 73 matches the Rfam family "Eukaryotic small subunit ribosomal RNA", at positions 1759 to 1831 of the family's 1831-position model. Lineage: Eukaryota; Fungi. The record is from RNAcentral.